Mesoplodon densirostris (Blainville's beaked whale) is the source of this 2204-nucleotide long non-coding RNA. RefSeq lists it as uncharacterized. Lineage: Eukaryota; Metazoa; Chordata; Mammalia; Artiodactyla; Ziphiidae. The transcript has 3 exons. The record is from RefSeq and is a predicted model, not a curated record.
AGCAGGAGUUGCCCCUUUACAAAGGGAUGCAUCUACUUUUUGGGAAAAGUGCCAGGAGACUUUUACCAUGGUCCCUGAAGAUCCCAGUCCUGGGCAUCCUGGACAAAGGCGGCUCUUCAGCAGGGCCCGUUUCUGUGAUGGUGACAGACGUGCAGUGUUGCUGUGGGCAGUGCCCUCACCUUCUCCUGAAUGGAGGACUGAGAUGACAUAGGUCCUCUGCUGUUUCCCCAUCUCCUUUCCAGAAAUCUCUGAAUCUUCACCCACAUCUUUUCCUUCUUCCUCCAUUUAUAAAGAAUGUCUUUCUCCUCGUGUAAGUGGAAGAGGCUCCAGCUUUCCAAGUUAUAGCACACGAAGUCCUGGCGUGGCAGUUACCUGGUACGCGGGCCUCUCACUGUUGUGGCCUCUCCCGUUGUGGAGCACAGGCUCCGGACAUGCAGGCUCAGCGGCCAUGGCUCACGGGCCCAGCCGCUCUGCGGCAUGUGGGAUCUUCCCGGACUGGGGCACGAACCUGCAUUCCCUGCCUCGGCAGGCGGACUCUCAACCACUGCGCCACCAGGGAAGCCCUCGUCUCUGAAUUCUUGAAAGAGGAAUUCCUGCCCCAAGACAGUCUCUCACAGGUCGACUGCAUUUAAGAGACGGAAGAUAAGACUACUGAAAACAGAUUACGUGGAAACCAAAAUCUCCAUCAAUAGUGAUUCUCCAUCACUUCCUGGCCUGUUAUCUGAACUUUAUCACAAGACCACAUCAUGCAGUUGGAGGAAAAAAGUGAGUCACGCGCAAGUCCUGGUGUUAGGACAGGGGUGAAGGGUCUUGCUGGUCCCCGGGAAGAGCACCUUCGCUCUGCUCAUCACUCAUCUCGUGGGCUGGCUCUUCGUAAACAGGCUCACCGAGGUCUUCGCUGCCCCCCUCACUCUGCUCCUCACUGUGGUUUUCGCUGGGCCCCACAGUCUGUUCCAGGCUGUUCUCCAGAAGUGUGGGAGAACUGCUUAUCCUGCUUUCUUCUUCAGCUGUCUCAUUUAAGGGCUGGGAAGGAGGUGGUGUGGGAGCAUCAGACUGCAUGACACUUUCAAUGGAAGAGAUGGGGGCUUUGGUGAGCGCAGUAUCCGCUACAACCUCAUUUUGAGGCAAAGAUAACUUUUCCACAAGUUUCCACUGAAUGAUGCUCAUGUCCUUUCCACCAGUUGAAAUCAGGUGACUGUCAUUAUGAGUAAAACUGACAUUGGUGACAUGGCUGCUGUGGGCACUGUACUUGUGACUGGGAGCCUACAUGAAAUAAAUCAGACAGGAAAAUUAAACUCAUUCUUCACAUGCCUACUUACAGCAAUGGAGGUGACCAGGCUAGGGAGGUCAUUCAAUUUGUGAAACAGGUAAUUCAGAUCAAAACCGCAAGUCAUUGACUGAGGAAUAAAGCUAGCAGUAAUUUCCUUUUAAUACCUAUUUAUGUGGGAGAAACAAAGUAACUGGACAGCUGUACUUUCAGACUGUAAAAAAAAAUGAUGUCUCUUCUGCAUACUUGUUAGAAUUUAGUGACUAUUCUACUGAGAUGGCUAGGGGAGAAUUUACUAGGUUGGAAAGAUUAUAGACGAUUUAGGAGUCAUAACGUUGAUCAUGUACCAAAAAUAAAAUAUUUUUAUGUUUAGAAGAAAUUUAAAACUACCAAGGUAUCAAAAUGAAAAAAAAAAAGGACAAUAAACAAAAACGAAUAAAACAUCAUCAACUGGCUUCUCUGUCUUCUCCGUUACCUUAAUGAGGAAGGAGAAGACAAGCACAGCCUGCUUGGAUGCUUACAGCUGGCCCUGUUCCCUCCCCCCAUGCACUGUAGUAUCACAGACAGUCAUUAGUAACCCUAUGAAUAUUUUCCCACCAUUGACACAAUAUAUCCCCAAACAAAAAUUAUCCCCAAACAAAAGGCCCUAUAACACUAGUUUUUAUUAAGUUUUACCUUUGCUUUGGAGCAGGGAUACUGAAACAGGUGGACUUUGCAAAAGUCAUCAGCAACAGCUAUCACCUUUCUAUUGUGGGAUCGCACCAGUGCAUUGAUAUCUGUCCCAUCAGAUCCUUCUGGCCAGACACCUUUGAUAUGGAAACAUGCGGGGGAGGGGGGUGUGUGUAGAAAAAUUAGCCUGAAAAAUACAACUGCCAUACUACGUGUGUUUAUUUUAGAAUCUUAGUUUUCAUCCGUGUUCAAACUCUUAGCUGCUAAA